CUUCAUGUUAGGCCCUCUCACUUCCAUUUCCUUCAUGAGGCAUGAAUCAUCCUAUUUUUCUUUUAUAGAUGAGGACACUUGGACACAGGGUCUACAAUGAGUCAUAUAAUCCUGGUGGACGAAUGCGGACAACUUGGUUGAAACCACUUCCUUGGGUUGUAAGCUGCUUUUAUCUUGCUGUUUUAAGUCUUGCUAUGCAAGAAGAGAAAAUAGAGGCUACAUCACAGCUACCCUUCCCUGCUUCAGAGGGCCAACCUUCAAGGAUCCCUGGAGACAAUGUUCCUCUUACUUGGGCCCCAGAGAUUAAGCCUGCACAGCCCUUCCUUCUAUUUGAAGUGUAUGAUAUUGAUAUCAGUGCUUUGGGAGAAUGAAGACUCUGAAAUGAACAUAUCACGCCAGGCUCCAUAAAGUCUAUGUUGCAAAGAGAUGUAUAGGCUGAGGUGGAGAAGGGCCAAGUCAGGCUUUUGCUCUGGAAAGCAAGCCUUAUGUAAUGAGUUAGCGCUUGUUUCCUGGCCUCAUCCUUAAUAUUUGGUACAUCUUCAUGAAAUAGGAAAAAGGCCUGGAUUUCUGAGUGAUGUUACCCCGGGCCCAACCACAAAUCAUCCAUUGUCAUUUCGUAGGUGCUGGCGAUGCCAUCAGUAUUAAUGUUCCUUUCCUCAUGCUGUCUUCUUUUAAAAAAAAAAAAAGCCCCCCCCCCCCCCCUAUGCAGUUGGAAUCUAUUUUCAUGGAGUUCCUCCAAUCAGGACUACAUCCAAACCAUUUUGUUUUUUGAGCCUUUCAUACUAUAUUUACUGCGCGUAAUGAAAAGCCUCGAUUCUCCCCAUGCUAACUAGUGAAACGUGUGAUGGUUGAAAUAUUCCACAAGUCCCACAGUAUUUAUGGAAAGAGACAAAACACACAGAAGAUGUGUGGUUAUUAAGUAAGCUUCUUAAUCUCCUGAUUCUUGCACAUUCUCUCUUUCUUCUAUGGGCUUUUCAUUGCCACCAAGUUGUAAAGGUUUUCAUUGUUUGGAGCCUGGCUUAGGGCUCCCAGGAAAGCUCAGCUCCAGGCAGGUUUGCCUUGUGCAUUUUAGCAUAAAAAAUGCAUGACACUUCUGCAUAUGCUCCAUAUUAAGCUUAACCAGGUUAACGCCCCUUUGCUUGGGUUCUUGGAAGAGAGUCCCAUAUUGUCACAUGUAAAGGGGGACAUUUCAGUGCUGACUUUCAUUUCCAUGAGAUUAAAAGUGAAACAUGUAACCACAAAGCUGGUUUAUGUCAUCCCCCUGUCGGAGCCAGCAGUAAUGCCAAAAAUUAGAUAUUUGAUAGGUUUGUGAGAGAAACAGAUGCAGAGGGAUGCCAUUCCCACAAUUUUAGACUCCUUAUCUUUAAGCUA
RNAcentral lists this long non-coding RNA (1371 nucleotides) under Vombatus ursinus (common wombat). Its description in RNAcentral is "lncRNA (ENSVURG00010005659.1)". Lineage: Eukaryota; Metazoa; Chordata; Mammalia; Diprotodontia; Vombatidae. The record is from RNAcentral.